AACUUGUCCAAAUACCUUCUGUAGUGCGGGGGACCAAAACUGGACGCAAUACUCCAGGUGUGGCCUCCCAGUGCCAAAGAGAGGGGAAUAAUCACUUCCCUCGAUGUGCUGGCAUUGGUACAUGGUUGCAAGCAUAGUCAUUUCAUGGUUGAAAUGUGUGGGCUUGUGCCAGUGGAGAAUUUGAACCUCAAUGCUAUUAAAGUUCUUCCUGUACCAGUAGCUCACCCAGGUAACCUUUAUUAACUACAUCCCCUUUUAACUUGGGAACAACUGAUUAUUUGAGUAGACAGUGGUUACAAUUACAUUUAAUGCAAACCAAAGGAGAGGUGGCGUGCAAAAGUUUGUUGUUCAACAGGUUUCCCUGGAAGUUGGUGUUAAUGGGUAAAAACUGCCUACGUCCCAUGUUCUAAAGUAACAUAGGCAUUUGAAAAAACAAAGUUCAUUAACUUUAAAUGGGAGUUAGUUUCUUUAGACAAUGUCUUUGACUUUUAACAAUUUUACCCAAAUCCUCAAGUUAAAAUAGACGGGGAGGAGGGAACAUCCCAGAACUAACCAAAUUCUGGUGAAAGUGCUGUCUCUGAGAAAUAUUGAGGGGGGCAAAUUUGGUAAGCCUAAGAUUUGCAGUGUAGCACCGACCUAGAAGUACAGCGUGCUGACUCCACAAGGUGCUGGGAAGGGGAUAAGACUUCAUAGUUGCAUAGGGCUGAAUGUAAUUUUAUGUAGAAUCAUAGAAGAUUAGGGUUGGAAGAGACCUCAGAAGGUCAUCUAGUCCAACCCUCUGCUUAAAGCAGGACUAACACCAGCUAAAUAGCGAGUGACCUCAAUAAGAUGGCGGUGCUAGGAAGUUUUUGAGGGUUUUGAA
This is a long non-coding RNA of Dermochelys coriacea (leatherback sea turtle), 862 nucleotides long. RefSeq lists it as uncharacterized. The record is from RefSeq and is a predicted model, not a curated record. The transcript is spliced from 3 exons. Lineage: Eukaryota; Metazoa; Chordata; Testudines; Dermochelyidae.